This 497-nucleotide ribosomal RNA is filed under the name uncultured bacterium. RNAcentral's name for it is "partial 16S ribosomal RNA". It matches the Rfam family "Bacterial small subunit ribosomal RNA", at positions 28 to 507 of the family's 1533-position model. The record is from RNAcentral.
GAUGAACGCUGGCGGCGUGCCUAAUACAUGCAAGUCGAGCGAACAGACGAGGAGCUUGCUCCUCUGACGUUAGCGGCGGACGGGUGAGUAACACGUGGAUAACCUACCUAUAAGACUGGGAUAACUUCGGGAAACCGGAGCUAAUACCGGAUAAUAUAUUGAACCGCAUGGUUCAAUAGUGAAAGACGGUUUUGCUGUCACUUAUAGAUGGAUCCGCGCCGCAUUAGCUUGUUGGUAAGGUAACGGCUUACCAAGGCAACGAUGCGUAGCCGACCUGAGAGGGUGAUCGGCCACACUGGAACUGAGACACGGUCCAGACUCCUACGGGAGGCAGCAGUAGGGAAUCUUCCGCAAUGGGCGAAAGCCUGACGGAGCAACGCCGCGUGAGUGUUGAAGGUCUUCGGAUCGUAAAACUCUGUUAUUAGGGAAGAACAAAUGUGUAAGUAACUAUGCACGUCUUGACGGUACCUAAUCAGAAAGCCACGGCUAACUACGUG